AUUCACGAAAUCAAGUAGAGAGAAAAACAGCAAGCCACAAAUCGGACGCAUUGCCGCUAUGUGGAGCCGUCUACGCACUGAACACCCCAGUUAGUUUUGAACGACACGCGUUAACUCAACUAACCAAAGACAAGGCAUAAAUAUUUCUCGGUACUGAAGACUGAUACACAGAAAGUCUGGGCGGAUGAGUGUUUUAUACGAUAUCGAAUAGACUAGCCCCUUCCGGUGACGUCUAGUAGCCUAAAUGUGACUGUACAGUACGUGUAACCUUUAAGCCGAACUCGUCAGUGUUUCAAAUAAUUUCACAUUUCACAGUAUGUUUUCCAAGUAAAUUAAUAUACAGUA
Molecule: long non-coding RNA, 345 nt
Organism: Daphnia pulex (common water flea)
Lineage: Eukaryota; Metazoa; Arthropoda; Branchiopoda; Diplostraca; Daphniidae
Exons: 2
Source: RefSeq, a predicted model, not a curated record